CUAAGUGUGUUUCUCUUUGGCUUUGUAGUUAGCUGUUCUAACAAGGUGUGAUUAUGUUGUUCUCUCUUUAUAGAGUCUUGUUUAUCUUCACUCUUUCUCUUGACAGACCAGUAGGGGACUGUAAUGGUUAUGGCAACCAACUUGCAACACUACAGAAAGAGUGCAUUUCCUCCAAUUCUGAGUACUUACCUGCCGCUUCGUUGCAGGAAUCAGAAUAACCACAAGCGAAGGAAGACUGUCAAAGAUGACAAAGGGAAGAAGAGAAACAACAACUCAGCAUUUAGUGAGGAAGGUAAAGAAGUACCACCUUGAAAUGUGUAAGGAUCUCUACAGACAAAGAAAUGCCACGUAUGUGCAUUACCGAGACUUGCUGAAUAAGAAAGUUCAAAAGCAGCGAAUUCAGAUUCAAAUGUCUGAUUGUAGGCUCAAGCAAAAUCUUGAACAGCAAAGAAGAAGAAAGAUUGUAGGACUACAGAAUGAACUGAUUAAGCGUGGGGUCUUAAAGAACCAACAGGACUGUGAAGACUUUUGGACUCUGAUUCCCCAGAGCUGUCACAGUUCACAGCUCAAAGGAAAACUUGAGGACAUAAAAUCAAAAAUGAUUGCUUCCAAAAGUUUGCCUUCCCGUGUCCCUGUAAGAACCAGUACAGCACAGCCAACUGAUGUUUUUCUAAGCCAAAGAUAUGGGAAGCUGAAAGAAAGCUCAGCCAAUGUGUCAGAAUCAAUGUGCUGCCAACCUCUACCUCAUCAUCCAAGUAAACACAUGAAGUCCCAAAAAGAAACUGAGCAAAUAUUUCCUAAGCUGCAGUUUUCUAGGCUCUCUGAAUUGCAAAAAAGACCCGAAGAGUUGCUCCAAACUCAGGAGGAGUACAGAAUUUCUAAGAGGAGUAAGAAAUAUUUCGAACAUAAAAAGCGUCUUUUUUACUUGCAUCAUAUCUAUCAUCUUGCCUUUCUUAAUAUGGCGUCAUCCAAGAGACGGCUAGAGCAAAACAACCAGUUUGCAGAUGUUGAAAAUGAGUGCAGUGUCCAUGAUCUGAUGAUUUACUUAUUUCCAAGUGAACAUAAAUCACCAUGUGCCACUAAGAGAGAGACGGAGGGAAAUGUAUUUCCAGGCUUGGCAGGAAGGAAACAGCAGGAACAGCAUUGCAAGAGAUCCUCUAAAGCACGCACGCUUUUCAAAGAAAUGAGAAAUGAAGAUAACGGAGCCAUUGAAAUUCCAGAGGAUUGGAAAUCGAGUGUCAGUGAUUUAGCCCUACAUGAAAUGACCACUGUGCCUCUAACCCUUGAAGAUGUGGCUCUGAAACAUCCAGUGCUGGUAUGUUGGUCCUCAUUUAUUCUACGUCCUCAUAUUCAGUUCCAUAAAACCUGGGGACAUCAGGUACCAAGACUGAAGGCUUUGUCCAAUUUCUGAACUGCUGAAGAGAGAUUUGGGUUUGACUUUGCUCUCAAAUCUCAACACAGUGACAACACAGAGUCUCCAACCCUAUUUUCUGUGUGUAGGCAAGCAUGUAUCGCUAUUAGUACUAGAUCCCUAAAAGAUGGUAUUAGAAACUUGAAGUAUAGUUUCUCAGGGACCUAGUUAUAAAAUAGUUUAAUAACCUUAGAAGUACAUGGAUACUUAGAGAGGCUGAUGACUCCUUUACUUCUAACAACUGUUAUGUCUUACUUCCUUUAAAGGUAAAUACCUAUUUUCUACUACCUUGCCUAAAAUUUUAAUCAUAGAGGAAACAGUACUUAAAAGAGGGCUCCUCUAAUUUACUUCUACAGAGCUACAUGACUGUAGAUAUACAGACACAGACUCUAGCUUUUACCCUAAAAACCAGUAUCAGCCACUGCAGCAAGAGAAUAGAGAAUGUUUUCCUCUUUAACACAGAUUUUAAUAGUUUAUCUCAAUUAUUUUUGGGUUAAAAUUCCCUUAAGAUAAUACAAUUCUGUAGUAUUAUUUAGGACAUCAGAAUCAGAUCUGAUAAAAAAUAAGAAUGAACGAAUUUUGAACUUUGACUCGGUCUGGCAAUAGCAAAGCUGCUUUUUGAUUAAACAAACAAACAAAUCCCGCAACUAAAACACUGAUGUUCCUGGCUCAAAAUGUGUUAUUUCAGUUUGUUGGAAUGACACAAAAUGCUCUGGGUCAAUUCACUGUUAACCUAUAUUCUUAGUAUGUCCUUCUGACUCAUGGGACCUUAAUUCGCAUGAAAUCAGAAGCACAGACUACCUGUGUCAGACUCCCACAUCCGGUAUCUCACGUAAAUAUGGGACGUGCAGCCCAGCCGAGGCAGCACCAGUGGGAAUAAGCCACCAUCCUGGUGUGGAAUGUGUCUCAUAGAUGGGCAGGUGUUGGACUUGGCUCCCAAUACUUAGACCAGUUCAACCUACUGAAACGAUAGGACUCAGAUUUGACUUACAAUUGGAUUUUUUGUCUUGAUUAAAGACAAAAAUUGACCUUGGAUUAGGUCAAAUUAAAUAUGUUCUAUGAAAAUGCUUUCUUCUGCAAAUAUUAUACCUUCUUUCCUGCUUAAAUAAGUAAAUAAAAAUCCCAUCAAACCCUUAUCA
Molecule: long non-coding RNA, 2550 nt
Organism: Struthio camelus australis
Lineage: Eukaryota; Metazoa; Chordata; Aves; Struthioniformes; Struthionidae
Source: Ensembl